GGUUAAGCGACUAAGCGUACACGGUGGAUGCCCUGGCAGUCAGAGGCGAUGAAGGACGUGCUAAUCUGCGAAAAGCGCCGGCGAGGUGAUAUGAACCUUUGACCCGGCGAUGUCCGAAUGGGGAAACCCAGUGUGAUUCGUCACACUAUCGUUAACUGAAUACAUAGGUUAACGAGGCGAACCGGGGGAACUGAAACAUCUAAGUACCCCGAGGAAAAGAAAUCAACCGAGAUUCCCCCAGUAGCGGCGAGCGAACGGGGAGCAGCCCAGAGUCUGAAUCAGCUUGUGUGUUAGUGGAAGCGUCUGGAAAGUCGCACGGUACAGGGUGACAGUCCCGUACACGAAAACACACAGGUUGUGAACUCGAAGAGUAGGGCGGGACACGUGGUAUCCUGUCUGAAUAUGGGGGGACCAUCCUCCAAGGCUAAAUACUCCUGACUGACCGAUAGUGAACCAGUACCGUGAGGGAAAGGCGAAAAGAACCCCGGCGAGGGGAGUGAAAAAGAACCUGAAACCGUGUACGUACAAGCAGUGGGAGCACCUUCGUGGUGUGACUGCGUACCUUUUGUAUAAUGGGUCAGCGACUUAUAUUCUGUAGCAAGGUUAACCGUAUAGGGGAGCCGAAGGGAAACCGAGUCUUAACUGGGCGUUAAGUUGCAGGGUAUAGACCCGAAACCCGGUGAUCUAGCCAUGGGCAGGUUGAAGGUUGGGUAACACUAACUGGAGGACCGAACCGACUAAUGUUGAAAAAUUAGCGGAUGACUUGUGGCUGGGGGUGAAAGGCCAAUCAAACCGGGAGAUAGCUGGUUCUCCCCGAAAGCUAUUUAGGUAGCGCCUCGUGAACUCAUCUUCGGGGGUAGAGCACUGUUUCGGCUAGGGGGCCAUCCCGGCUUACCAACCCGAUGCAAACUACGAAUACCGAAGAAUGUUAUCACGGGAGACACACGGCGGGUGCUAACGUCCGUCGUGAAGAGGGAAACAACCCAGACCGCCAGCUAAGGUCCCAAAGUCAUGGUUAAGUGGGAAACGAUGUGGGAAGGCACAGACAGCCAGGAUGUUGGCUUAGAAGCAGCCAUCAUUUAAAGAAAGCGUAAUAGCUCACUGGUCGAGUCGGCCUGCGCGGAAGAUGUAACGGGGCUAAACCAUGCACCGAAGCUGCGGCAGCGACACUAUGUGUUGUUGGGUAGGGGAGCGUUCUGUAAGCCGUUGAAGGUGGCCUGUGAGGGUUGCUGGAGGUAUCAGAAGUGCGAAUGCUGACAUAAGUAACGAUAAAGCGGGUGAAAAGCCCGCUCGCCGGAAGACCAAGGGUUCCUGUCCAACGUUAAUCGGGGCAGGGUGAGUCGACCCCUAAGGCGAGGCCGAAAGGCGUAGUCGAUGGGAAACAGGUUAAUAUUCCUGUACUUGGUGUUACUGCGAAGGGGGGACGGAGAAGGCUAUGUUAGCCGGGCGACGGUUGUCCCGGUUUAAGCAUGUAGGCGGAGGUUCCAGGUAAAUCCGGUACCUUUUAACGCUGAGGUGUGAUGACGAGGCACUACGGUGCUGAAGUAACAAAUGCCCUGCUUCCAGGAAAAGCCUCUAAGCAUCAGGUAACAUCAAAUCGUACCCCAAACCGACACAGGUGGUCAGGUAGAGAAUACCAAGGCGCUUGAGAGAACUCGGGUGAAGGAACUAGGCAAAAUGGUGCCGUAACUUCGGGAGAAGGCACGCUGAUAUGUAGGUGAAGCCCCUGCGGGUGGAGCUGAAAUCAGUCGAAGAUACCAGCUGGCUGCAACUGUUUAUUAAAAACACAGCACUGUGCAAACACGAAAGUGGACGUAUACGGUGUGACGCCUGCCCGGUGCCGGAAGGUUAAUUGAUGGGGUUAGCGGCAACGCGAAGCUCUUGAUCGAAGCCCCGGUAAACGGCGGCCGUAACUAUAACGGUCCUAAGGUAGCGAAAUUCCUUGUCGGGUAAGUUCCGACCUGCACGAAUGGCGUAAUGAUGGCCGGGCUGUCUCCACCCGAGACUCAGUGAAAUUGAACUCGCUGUGAAGAUGCAGUGUACCCGCGGCAAGACGGAAAGACCCCGUGAACCUUUACUAUAGCUUGACACUGAACACUGGUCCUUGAUGUGUAGGAUAGGUGGGAGGCUUUGAAGUGUGGACGCCAGUCUGCAUGGAGCCGUCCUUGAAAUACCACCCUUUAAUGGCUGGUGUUCUAACGUAGACCCGUGAUCCGGGUUGCGGACAGUGUCUGGUGGGUAGUUUGACUGGGGCGGUCUCCUCCCAAAGAGUAACGGAGGAGCACGAAGGUUAGCUAAUCCUGGUCGGACAUCAGGAGGUUAGUGCAAUGGCAUAAGCUAGCUUGACUGCGAGAGUGACGGCUCGAGCAGGUGCGAAAGCAGGUCAUAGUGAUCCGGUGGUUCUGAAUGGAAGGGCCAUCGCUCAACGGAUAAAAGGUACUCCGGGGAUAACAGGCUGAUACCGCCCAAGAGUUCAUAUCGACGGCGGUGUUUGGCACCUCGAUGUCGGCUCAUCACAUCCUGGGGCUGAAGUAGGUCCCAAGGGUAUGGCUGUUCGCCAUUUAAAGUGGUACGCGAGCUGGGUUUAGAACGUCGUGAGACAGUUCGGUCCCUAUCUGCCGUGGGCGCUGGAGAAUUGAGGGGGGCUGCUCCUAGUACGAGAGGACCGGAGUGGACGCAUCACUGGUGUUCGGGUUGUCAUGCCAAUGGCACUGCCCGGUAGCUAAAUGCGGAAAAGAUAAGUGCUGAAAGCAUCUAAGCACGAAACUUGCCCCGAGAUGAGUUCUCCCUGAGACUUUAAGUCUCCUGAAGGAACGUUGAAGACGACGACGUUGAUAGGUCGGGUGUGUAAGCGCAGCGAUGCGUUGAGCUAACCGAUACUAAUGAACCGUGAGGCUUAACCUU
RNAcentral lists this ribosomal RNA (2904 nucleotides) under Enterobacter roggenkampii. RNAcentral describes it as "23S ribosomal RNA". It matches the Rfam family "Bacterial large subunit ribosomal RNA". The record is from RNAcentral. Lineage: Bacteria; Pseudomonadati; Pseudomonadota; Gammaproteobacteria; Enterobacterales; Enterobacteriaceae.